Non-coding RNA from Triticum urartu, 98 nucleotides. NCBI's taxonomy places the organism in Eukaryota, Viridiplantae, Streptophyta, Magnoliopsida, Poales, Poaceae. The record is from Rfam.
UUGGUACUCCCUCCGUCCGAAAAAGCUUGUCCCUCAAAUGGAUGUAUCUAGAUACAUCGAUUUGAGGGACAAGCUUUUUCGGACGGAGGGAGUACUUA